Colossoma macropomum (tambaqui) is the source of this 229-nucleotide long non-coding RNA. RefSeq lists it as uncharacterized. NCBI's taxonomy places the organism in Eukaryota, Metazoa, Chordata, Actinopteri, Characiformes, Serrasalmidae. The transcript is spliced from 3 exons. The record is from RefSeq and is a predicted model, not a curated record.
AAAGACGAGGCUGUUUACGAGAACGACACGGAGCUCAGAACAAUGAGGAGUACCAGCAGAGGGUGCUGUCAAAAUCCAACACAAGAAAACUCAAUCUAUGUCAACUGUGAGAGAAAAAAGACGUAGCUGUGAAGAAACUGUCAAUUCAGGCUUUAUAAAGCUGAACAACAUCAAACAGCUUUUUAUAUAUAUUUUAUAUUUACGUUUCUUUUGUUUAUUAUGAUAAUAG